Molecule: long non-coding RNA, 434 nt
Organism: Eriocheir sinensis (Chinese mitten crab)
Lineage: Eukaryota; Metazoa; Arthropoda; Malacostraca; Decapoda; Varunidae
Exons: 3
Source: RefSeq, a predicted model, not a curated record
UACAAAAAUUGCUGCCUCACAACCUGUGGCCAGAAUCCACCCGGUGUUGUUGAGGAGGGAACAGAAAGGACCAGAUUGGGGUGCAGCAACAGGAUGUAAGUCUGAGGCGAUUGGUGUCCGUGGUGGCCAGGUCCAGUUGUGGGUCGAGGGAGAAGGCCGGCUUGGGCCCCGUCACCUUCACGUUGUAGUGGUACGUCACCUGCACCAGUGCUACUCCAGAUCCGCUGCCACUCAUCUGCACCGUCUCUGUGUCACUUGGCAGCUGUUGGUGAUGCAGAAGGGUCAGAUUUAUUUGGUGAAAAAAAGUCCUCCUUCAGUGCCAUCCAAUACAGUGACAGUGGAGGUGGAAUGGAAGAGUCAGCAAUACCUGUGUGGUGAGGAGCGCCAUGACCACAUAGGCGGUGAGUGCUGACCCAAAGGCUGCCCCUCCCUGC